GAUGAACGCUGGCGGCGUGCCUAAUACAUGCAAGUCGAGCGAACAGACGAGGAGCUUGCUCCUCUGACGUUAGCGGCGGACGGGUGAGUAACACGUGGAUAACCUACCUAUAAGACUGGGAUAACUUCGGGAAACCGGAGCUAAUACCGGAUAAUAUAUUGAACCGCAUGGUUCAAUAGUGAAAGACGGUUUUGCUGUCACUUAUAGAUGGAUCCGCGCCGCAUUAGCUAGUUGGUAAGGUAACGGCUUACCAAGGCAACGAUGCGUAGCCGACCUGAGAGGGGGAUCGGCCACACGGAAACGGAGACACGGUCCAGACUCCUACGGGAGGCAGCAGUAGGGAAUCUUCCGCAAUGGGCGAAAGCUUGACGGAGCAACGCCGGGGGAGUGAUGAAGGUCUUCGGAUCGUAAAACUCUGUUAUUGGGGAAGAACAAAUGUGUAAGUAACUAUGCACGUCUGGACGGUACCUAAUCAGAAAGCCACGGCAAACUACGU
This 496-nucleotide ribosomal RNA is filed under the name uncultured bacterium. RNAcentral's name for it is "partial 16S ribosomal RNA". It matches the Rfam family "Bacterial small subunit ribosomal RNA", at positions 28 to 506 of the family's 1533-position model. The record is from RNAcentral.